GACGAACUCUGGCGGCGUGCUUAACACAUGCAAGUCGAACGGAAAGGCCCUGCUUUUGUGGGGUGCUCGAGUGGCGAACGGGUGAGUAACACGUGAGUAACCUGCCCUUGACUUUGGGAUAACUUCAGGAAACUGGGGCUAAUACCGGAUAGGAGCUCCUGCUGCAUGGUGGGGGUUGGAAAGUUUCGGCGGUUGGGGAUGGACUCGCGGCUUAUCAGCUUGUUGGUGGGGUAGUGGCUUACCAAGGCUUUGACGGGUAGCCGGCCUGAGAGGGUGACCGGCCACAUUGGGACUGAGAUACGGCCCAGACUCCUACGGGAGGCAGCAGUGGGGAAUAUUGCAUAAUGGGCGGAAGCCUGAUGCAGCGACGCCGCGUGCGGGAUGACGGCCUUCGGGUUGUAAACCGCUUUCGCCUGUGACGAAGCGUGAGUGACGGUAAUGGGUAAAGAAGCACCGGCUAACUACGUGCCAGCAGCCGCGGUGAUACGUAGGGUGCGAGCGUUGUCCGGAUUUAUUGGGCGUAAAGGGCUCGUAGGUGGUUGAUCGCGUCGGAAGUGUAAUCUUGGGGCUUAACCCUGAGCGUGCUUUCGAUACGGGUUGACUUGAGGAAGGUAGGGGAGAAUGGAAUUCCUGGUGGAGCGGUGGAAUGCGCAGAUAUCAGGAGGAACACCAGUGGCGAAGGCGGUUCUCUGGGCCUUUCCUGACGCUGAGGAGCGAAAGCGUGGGGAGCGAACAGGCUUAGAUACCCUGGUAGUCCACGCUGUAAACGGUGGGUACUAGGUGUGGGGUCCAUUCCACGGGUUCCGUGCCGUAGCUAACGCUUUAAGUACCCCGCCUGGGGAGUACGGCCGCAAGGCUAAAACUCAAAGGAAUUGACGGGGCCCCGCACAAGCGGCGGAGCAUGCGGAUUAAUUCGAUGCAACGCGUAGAACCUUACCUGGGUUUGACAUGGAUCGGGAGUGCUCAGAGAUGGGUGUGCCUCUUUUGGGGUCGGUUCACAGGUGGUGCAUGCCUGUCGUCAGCUCGUGUCGUGAGAUGUUGGGUUAAGUCCCGCAACGAGCGCAACCCUUGUUCACUGUUGCCAGCACGUUAUGGUGGGGACUCAGUGGAGACCGCCGGGGUCAACUCGGAGGAAGGUGGGGAUGACGUCAAGUCCUCAUGCCCCUUAUGUCCAGGGCUUCACGCAUGCUACAAUGGCUGGUACAGAGAGUGGCGAGCCUGUGAGGGUGAGCGAAUCUCGGAAAGCCGGUCUCAGUUCGGAUUGGGGUCUGCAACUCGACCUCAUGAAGUCGGAGUCGCUAGUAAUCGCAGAUCAGCAACGCUGCGGUGAAUACGUUCCCGGG
Molecule: ribosomal RNA, 1343 nt
Filed under: uncultured bacterium
Lineage: Bacteria
Description: 16S ribosomal RNA
Rfam family: Bacterial small subunit ribosomal RNA
Source: RNAcentral